This 322-nucleotide ribosomal RNA is filed under the name uncultured eukaryote. RNAcentral describes it as "partial 18S ribosomal RNA". It matches the Rfam family "Eukaryotic small subunit ribosomal RNA", at positions 1470 to 1796 of the family's 1831-position model. The record is from RNAcentral.
CCCUUAGAUGUUCUGGGCCGCACGCGUGCUACACUGAGUGGAUCAGCGGGUCAGGUUGCGCGAAAGCGUUUCCUAAUCUUUAAAUCCGCUCGUGAUGGGGAUUGACGGUUGCAAUUUUCUGUCAUGAACGAGGAAUACCUUGUAAGCGCGGGUCAUCAUCCCGCGCUGAAUACGUCCCUGCCCUUUGUACACGCCGCCCGUCGCUCCUACCGAUUGAGUGGUCCGGUGAGGCUUUGGGAUCUGAGCGGAAAGAGCGUUUCGCUGUUUCUGCUCGGAAAACUCAGUCGAACCUUAUCAUUUAGAGGAAGGAGAAGUCGUAACA